Molecule: long non-coding RNA, 3523 nt
Organism: Pan troglodytes (chimpanzee)
Lineage: Eukaryota; Metazoa; Chordata; Mammalia; Primates; Hominidae
Exons: 2
Source: RefSeq, a predicted model, not a curated record
ACUACAGGGGGAAAAAAAAGGAUUUUUACCAGAAAGUUUACACAGCGUCCACAGGCAGUUAUCAAAGACAAGGAGGGCAACAUAAUAAAAAUACUGACAUGCUAAAAAGUAUACGCUUGCUGUAAGUUUCUAAUGACAAAUACUUUGGAGAAGACAACACAAUAUCAACCACAAAGGAAAGACAAACAGGAGAAAGGCAGGGCAGAAAAAGGCUCAGUUCUGCAAAAAAUAGAAAUUUAAAAAAACCAAUAUGAGUAAAUAAAAAUCAUAAAAGACGGACGGGCAGGGGCAGCAGGGCCAGGAAAGUACCAUGACGCCGCCAGGGGCACGUGCUGCAAAGCACUCCUUGUCCUUCCUUUCCUCUGAGGGACCAGGCUGUGGGAGGAGCGGGCAGAAUGAAAAGAUAAGAGAACUGUUACUGGGUUAUUUCAAAAGCCAGAAUUUGGUCACAGAAAAAGCUCUGGCACCUAAGCGGCUUCCAGCUCCACCGAGCACAGGAGGCACCCUACGGGCUACCUGCCUCUGCACUCCACGAUUCUCAUCCUGCCUCUCUUCUCUCCUUCCCCAGUUCACGACGCUACACUUUCAGGUCAGUAACAACUUUCAGAAAGCAAACAAAACCAAAAUAAGAGUCAGAAAAACCGCUUCCAAUCUGGAGGGCUCCUCGCCCGAUGCUGCUGCUGCUGCGCUCUUCAAGGAGAAGCGUUUGAAUCGAUCAUUUCGUUUUCAGAGAUCCCAACAGAGCACUGAGUCAAAGACCCAGACCAGCUAGUGAGACAAGUGGGAAAAUAUCUGGAAUUUCAAAGGAUCAUUAAUAUUUUAAAACACUGGAGAGAAACAGCAUUUUACAAAGAAACAUUUGGAGACAACCUUCUGGGACUCCUCUCCUGAUGGACUUUGGAGAUAAUGGCAGUAGCCAAAAAUUAACACCCAGAGGCAAUGGAACAGAUGCCCAGAUCUGAGACUCUGAGGGUCAAGAGGCAGUGGCAGGUGUGACACCAGCAAAGCCACCCGAGAACACUGAAGAAGUUAGAGGUCCUAGAUGCAGCUGCUCCCAACUGAAGGGCUCCUGAAAACACUCGUGGUUUUAGAAGCUAAGGGAAGAGGCCGGGCGCGGUGGCUCACACCUGUAAUCCCAGCACUUUGAGAGGCCGAGGCAGGCAGAUCACCUAAGGUUAGGAGUCAAGACCAGCCUGGCCAACAUGGUGAAACCUCAUCUCUACUAAAAAUACAGAAGAAAAUUUUUAGCCAGGCGUGGUGAUGCACGCCUGUAUUCCCAGCUAUGCAGGAGGCUGAGGCAGGAGAAUCACUUCAACCUGGGAGGUGGAGGUUGUAGUGAGCCAAGAUCGCACCACAGCACUCCAGCCUGGGUAACAGAGUGAGACUCUGUCUCAUUUAAAAAAAAAAAAAAAAAAAGAGGCUAAGGAAAGAACCUGAGCAUUUCUCUCCCCAGCCCCCGCAAUAUGAAGAAUUAGGUACAAAGCACCCCAGAGCCCCGGACCUUAGGUUUGGUUUGGCAGCUGCAGCAGAAAGUGAUGGUUCCUAGUGAUACAACUCAGAAUUAAAGUAACUUGUACAUGACAGUUUCUUAGAAAAUGAAUGAAGUUAUCAUUUUAAAAAAAGAAGAGCCUGCCCAAAAGAAACAGCAUAAGCUAACAAACACGCACCAGCGGAAGGGCUGCGUGAAGACAUGAGUGAAUGCGAGCAAAUGAGGUGGCUGCAGGCUCUCACUUGGGGCAUGAUGAAAUUUCCAAGACUGUUCUAAGAGAGCUCUUCAGAGAGGUCAUGUGAGAACACUGAAAACAGGCCAAUUCAACGGAGCCAAUUAUUCACUGGAUUUAUUAAUUCUUAAAAGAGAAAGGUUAGCAUGGAUUUAUAGCUCUAACAGGAAGUGGGAGGUGGAGAAGCCCACUCACCUCCCUCUCCAGACUCAGGGAAGGGAAUGAGAAGGUGCCACACAGAGCCCUGGCAGGACCGAGGGCCACACAGGCUGCCUGGCUGCCGUCCCAGACCUGUGGCCACAUGAGAUUUAGGUUUCGAUGUGGCACAGCUUCAAAUGGAUACACGAGGGGAUAGUCAUCUUCUGUGAGAAACAGUGGCACCUUUUCCCAAAGACAAAUAGUUAAGACAUCACUCCUAUUUUUUCAGCUGCCCCAAGUAAUUGCUCUUUUGACGUUUUUGAAAAAGUUCCCCAAAGCUGAAGAGCCUCUCAGUAAAACCAAAAAUCAAAAGCACCAAUUAAGCGCAAAGCGAGUUUGGGUGGAGUCUUCAUCCUGGAUGCCAAGGAACAUGAAAAUGGAAGGUCAAGUUCCUAUGUGCCGCAGAGAUGAUGACAAACCAGUAGGAACUGGCAACCCUGCUACGUUGCAGAACUAUCCCAAAUUCCUGGAAGCUGCUUUGGGUCAUUUCAACAUUCAGUCCAGAUUACUGACUCUGAAAUCUACCUUAGGACCCUCAAAGCAUCCCUGCCAGGGACCUGAGGCAGAUGCUUGCUGCAACCAGGAACCACUUCUCCAGAGAGGCAGGAGUUCAGGUUACUAGAGUGACAUGAAAACGCAACGAGACCUAGAUAGAAAAACAGAGGCAAGGCCAGCCCUUCCUUCCUCACAGGAAGACGAUAUGACCUGGCAAGUGCCAGCCAGGCUCCCGGACUCUACUCUUCUGUAACCUAAAAAGCACAAUCUAAAAAAGCAAACAGCAGAAUUAAAUGUGCAAGACACACUACGCUGUUAACAAAAGCCUGAGCGGCUGGGCGCCGUGGCUCACGCCUGUAAUCCCAGCACUUUGGGAGGCGGAGGCAGGUGGAUCAUUUGAGGUCAGGAGUUCAAGAUCAGCCUGGCCAAAAUGGUGAAACCCCGUCUCUACUAAAAAUACAAAAAUUAGCCAGGUGUGGUGGCGCACGCCACCCACAAGUAGUAAUCCCAGCUACUUGGGAGGAUGAGGCGGGAGGAUGAGGCAGGAGAAUGGUUUGAACCGGGAAGACGAAGUUUGCAGUGAGCCGAGAAAACACUACUGCUCUCCAGCCUGGGCAACUCCAUGUCAAAGGAAAAAAAAAAAAAAAAGCCUGAGCACUCAUACCUAAAAAGAAUAUGCCCCUUCAAGACAUGUCAAAAUUAACAAUUAACUGUCAUCAACGAUAGGCUUUUUAUUUGAUUUUUUUUUUUUUUGAGACAGAGUCUUGCUCUGUUGCCCAGGCUAGAGUGCAAUGGCGCGAUCUCAGCUCACUGCAACCUCCGCCUCCAAAGUUCAAGUGAUUCUCCAGCCUCAGCCUCCCGAGUAGCUGGGAUUACAGGCACCCGCCACUGCACCCAGCUAAUUUUUGUAUUUUUAGUAGAGACAGAGUUUCACCAUCUUGGCCAGGCUGGUCUUGAACUCCUGACCUCAUAAUCUACCUGCCUCGGCCUCCCAAAGUCCUGGGAUUACAGGCGUGAGCCACCGCGCCCAGCCUGAAUUUUUAAUAGCUUGGCUCACCAAAAAGUGUCAGUUAAAACACUCCCAUUUCCCUUCAUUUAUUGUAGAAAAA